CUGGCGGCGUGCCUAAUACAUGCAAGUCGAACGGUCUUUCUAUGGAAGCUUGCUUCCACUGAGAAGAUAGUGGCGAACGGGUGAGUAACACGUGGGUAACCUGCCCAUAAGAGGGGGGAUAACAUCCGGAAACGGGUGCUAAUACCGCAUAGUUUUCUUGAUUGCAUGAUUGAGAAAGGAAAGACGGCCUUUGUGCUGUCGCUUAUGGAUGGACCCGCGGCGUAUUAGUUAGUUGGUGAGGUAACGGCUCACCAAGACGAUGAUACGUAGCCGACCUGAGAGGGUGAUCGGCCACAUUGGGACUGAGACACGGCCCAAACUCCUACGGGAGGCAGCAGUAGGGAAUCUUCCGCAAUGGACGAAAGUCUGACGGAGCAACGCCGCGUGAGUGAAAGAAGGUUUUCGGAUCGUAAAACUCUGUUGUCAGAGAAGAACAAGUUGGAGAGUAACUGCUCCAGCCUUGACGGUAUCUGACCAGAAAGCCACGGCUAACUACGUGCCAGCCGCGGC
Molecule: ribosomal RNA, 510 nt
Filed under: uncultured bacterium
Lineage: Bacteria
Description: bacterial SSU rRNA
Rfam family: Bacterial small subunit ribosomal RNA
Source: RNAcentral